This 733-nucleotide ribosomal RNA is filed under the name uncultured Gammaproteobacteria bacterium. RNAcentral describes it as "bacterial SSU rRNA". It matches the Rfam family "Bacterial small subunit ribosomal RNA", at positions 9 to 728 of the family's 1533-position model. The record is from RNAcentral. Lineage: Bacteria; Pseudomonadati; Pseudomonadota; Gammaproteobacteria.
GGAGUUUGAUCCUGGCUCAGAUUUUGAACGCUGGCGGCAUGCUUAAGCACAUGCAAGUCUGAACGGUAACAGGCGGGUGCUUGCACCCGCGCUGACGAGUGGCGGACGGGUGAGUAACGCGUAGGAAUCUGCCUGGCAGCGGGGGACAACCCCGGGAAACCGGGGCUAAUACCGCAUAUCCCCCACGGGGGAAAGACCGGGACCUUUUCGGAGGCCGGUCGCUGCCGGAUGAGCCUGCGUUGGAUUAGUUUGUUGGUGGGGUAAAGGCCUACCAAGGCGAUGAUCCAUAGCUGGUCUGAGAGGGUGAUCAGCCACACUGGGACUGAGACACGGCCAGACUCCUACGGGAGGCAGCAGUGGGGAAUAUUGGACAAUGGGCGCAAGCCUGAUCCAGCAAUGCUGCGUGUGUGAAGAAGGCCUUCGGGUUGUAAAGCACUUUCAAUCGGGAAGAAAAGCGCGCGGUUAACAGCGGCGCGUCUUGACCGGUACCGAUACAAGAAGCACCGGCUAACUCCGUGCCAGCAGCCGCGGUAAUACGGAGGGUGCAAGCGUUAAUCGGAAUUUACUGGGCGUAAAGCGCACGCAGGCGGUGGUNUAAGUCAGAUGUGAAAGCCCCGGGCUCAAACCUGGGAACUUGGUUUUGAUACUGGGCCCGGACUACAGAGGAAAAAGGGGAAGAAAGAAGAAAGCGCGGAAAUUCCCCGCAAAUGUACGCGGGGUGGAAACAUGCGUU